UCUCUUUGAAAACACUCACAUUCUUUAUACAUGUAGAUUCUGACUUAGGAAGCAACCCUUUGAUUAAAUUUAAAGGGCUUAUCUUUUAUUAUUUUGAGAAGUAGCAAUGUCUAUUUAACACCAACAUUGCUUAAAUACAGUACCAUAACCUGGACUGAAUAAUUAUUAAAGUACAUGACUGCUGUAGCAGACUCACAAGAAGGAAAC
Long non-coding RNA from Dermochelys coriacea (leatherback sea turtle), 207 nucleotides. RefSeq lists it as uncharacterized. Lineage: Eukaryota; Metazoa; Chordata; Testudines; Dermochelyidae. The transcript is spliced from 2 exons. The record is from RefSeq and is a predicted model, not a curated record.